This is a long non-coding RNA of Microtus oregoni (creeping vole), 3672 nucleotides long. RefSeq lists it as uncharacterized. NCBI's taxonomy places the organism in Eukaryota, Metazoa, Chordata, Mammalia, Rodentia, Cricetidae. The transcript has 23 exons. The record is from RefSeq and is a predicted model, not a curated record.
UCUAGACCUGGAACAGAACGGGAGCGAGGAUGUCUGGUGCCUAGUCAUAUCCACACCCGAGGAGUGUCUGCGUGUGCACAGCUGGCUGCUCGGGGCUCGAGUGGAGGCCCUAAUAUGAAUGGCGACCUAGUCUGCUGGCUGAGACCUUGGCAGUGACCACUGUGGGCAAUGAGCCAUCGACCAACAAUUCCAUGUGAGCCUGUCUCUAAUAUUGAAGAUUUAUAUAUCUCAAUGGACAAGAACCACAAAGGUUCAAUGAUGCGCUCCUCAUGGUACCUAAAUGAUCCUAAGCCUCUGGGGCAGGAAGAAAGGGACUCAGUUUGUGCUUGACUUCAGCAAGUGGAUGCGCCCCCUCCAACUGAAUCAUCCCGGAACAUCAAAGGUCUCAGUUUUUACCUCUGUGGGUAAGGAAAGAAGAGAUUAAUGGCACUGUCGUUGGGAUGUCGUGUGGUUGGAAUCAUACAGCAUGAUGCCUUUCCAGGACCCCUGAUUUAAUCAUUUAAUAUGGAAUCGUUGUCCUGAGUAAGGAGCAUAGAUGAGAAUAAAGAAUGAGCUCAGCUGGUGUGGCUUCGUGGCUACCUUCUGGGGAAGAUCUUGCCUGUUUACCUUCUGGGGAAGAUCUUGCCUGUUUCCCUCUGGAAAAGAUUGCUCAUCCCUCAGAAGCAAUGGCUUUGUCUGCUUUAAGCACUGGACCCUGCUCACAAACCCUACACUUUUUCUCGGUAUUUACAUGAAGACCCCAAAACCUGUGUGAGUAAUAUUUAAAUGUAUUGUUUUUCUCAGUGGAAUGCUCUUUGUUAUUAUAGAGUAUCAGUGAUAUCUGAGUAAAGGAUCUGGUUGUUCUGAAGAAGAAAACACAGCCAUAGGCACACAUUACUAGAGAAGAAGACGGCUAACACGGACCGAUGAUGACAAGGGUCAGCACUAUAAGUCACUGACGAUGACUACAAUUUUUUUGUCUGAGGUUCAGAAAACAACACAUCUCAGGUGCUCCCUCCGCUAGCCAGGGGAUGGAAGUUAGGCCUGUGGAACAAGCAUUGUGCAUUAGAAUCAGGCACUUUUAUGCAUGUUCUUUUCUCAUUUGAUCAAUGAAACAUGAUACAAAUAUAUACACAAAUGCAAAUGUAAAUGAAUAUUUUGAGACAUUGAUCAAUUAGAAAAUAAAUAUUUGACUACAAAUUCUGCUACGACAUGUAGAAAACACAGAAGCCGGUUAAGAUUAAUUGGCAUAAAGAUUAUAUAAAAUUUAUCCAAGUUCACAUAUGAAGUGUAAUUAAUGGAUUAAGCCCCAGUAUGGGUUAACACCUUAAUUUUAAUUUUCAGUCUUACUUGAUUUCUAACAACCUGAAUCCUAAAUAACAAAUAUUGGAAGGAGAAAUGUAGACAUAAUUUGAAAAAUAUCAAAUCUUUUUAUUUUUUUUCCUGCUUUGUACUCUCUGGAUGGAUGAUGACUGACCCAUUGUUUCCUGGCUGGGAGGUCCAUGGUUUUCCUAGCCUCAAGUUUAAAGAUCAAGGGAACUGAUGAGCUCAUGAAGACAGGAUGCCUGAGGAUUCCACAGGAAGUAAACCUUCUUUGUAUUGUCAGAGCAAUGUCCAGUGUUUCUGUCCUUAGUAGAUCAUAUGACAGUGUCAUACAUACUUAGAAUGGAUUCCGCCCCCAUGCGGAUUUUCACUCUCCCUCGCUCAUGAGCUUCAUAAUGAGCUGUUUUAGACUGUAAUGCAGAUAGUAAUGGAUACCCUACAAGCUGAUUUUAUACAGUCUAACUUGAAACAGAACCUCGUGAUCCAGCCUCUGUGUUCACAGGAAAGACACAGUAAUGGCUGCCCUAAGCUGAUGUAUAAAUUCUUCCUUGCUUGUGAGAUUCCUGCUCUAAUCCUUGUAGCCCUAAGAUAGACACAUUUGCAUGUAGUCAGUGUUCAUGCCUCCAACUUGGUACUUUUAAAGACUACGCACACUAUUGUUGAAAUACUACUCGUCCUCUGGAAGACCAACUAUGUCCAUACGAAUGGAGCCACCAGGCUGAUAAUUGGUCACGAGCAAUAUAGACACAGUGAUGGAUUUCUCCCCAAAGAUGAUUUACACCUUCAUUGGUGAUGAUCUUCAUGGUCAGCUCUUUGGGUUCAUAAUAUAGACACAGUAACAGAUACCCCAAAGCUGAUUUUAGACAUUCGUCCUCUGUCACCAGCUUCUUGAUCCGCUGUUUGUAUUCGUAGCAUAGAUACAGUGAUGGAUUUCCACCCACCUUCUGCUUUCAUUAUGAUCUUCAUGGUCAGCUCUUUGGGUUCGUAAUAGACACAGUAAUGGAUGUCAUUGAGCUGAUUUUACAUUCUCCCUCGGUCAUGGGUUUUGUGAUCAACUCUAUUGAUUAGUAAUAUUGUCACAGUAGAUGAAUACCCUCCAGCUGACUUCCACAUUCAUUCUUCAUUAUGAGGCCCAUGAUCUGCUCUCUGUUCAUAUGAUAGAUGCUGUAAUAGACGCCUUCAUCACUGGUCACCGGGUUCAUGCAUCAUAGGGACCCACCACAGAUGCUUUCUGACUGAUGUUCACAUUCUGGUCGACGAGUCCACCGUUACCCUACAUGUCAGGAAGACAGAUACCAAUAAAGGCCAACUCCAGAACAAUGGGUGGAUCCCUCCUGGUCCUCACCUCCAAGGUUGCCUGUGUUGUUAGGGUCAUGGCUACAAUCGGAUCAGGGAACCCUAUGGAAGAGGAGGUGCAAAGAUUGUAAGGACCAAUGAGAAUGGAGGACACCAAGGAAACGAGGCCUUCUAGAUACAGCAGGACCGAUGCAGAUCUGAACUCAUAGAGACCGUGACAGUGUGCAUGGGGCCUGCACAGGUCUAAGCCAGAUGGGGUCCCAGCACUGAGAGGGGCAGUGGACACAAGCCCCCAUCCCUAACUCAGAAGCUAUCUCUAAUCCAUAGACUCGCUCAGAGGAAAAACUCCAAUGGAAUCUCACUGGAUAUAUAGACUACUCCUAAGAGCGGCCUCCAUGCUCAGAUGGCCAACCCAAAAUGAACUCAAUGGCAUUUUUGGAAGAUCUUGUGACACAUAAUGCUUUGUCUAGGUAUUUUUUUCUUGCCCUACAGACAUUUUGCAUAUAUAUUGUGGUUUCUGAUAUUAGUUUUUAUGAGUUUUCUAUGUCUGUGAUUGUAUGUGUCUCAGAGCCUGUAUUUGUUUUUGGUGAUUUAUCGUAGGCUCUUUUUUUGCUUAUUCUGUUUUGUUUGCAUUUAUAUUUCCUCCUCCUUAGUUUAGAUGCCUGCUUUCACUGUAAUAAGAGAAUAGAAUAAUUAGUGUGAAUUUGGGUGGGUGUGUAAAUAGGGAGGAGAUGGGAGGUGUUGGGACAGGAAACCAUAAUACAAAUAGUGUAUUGUCAAUAAAAAGCAUUUCCUCUAUCACUAAAAAAAAGUGUGAAGUACAGUUAUUGAAAUUGGAUGGAUGGAUCACUGGAAAUGUAAACAAAUAAUAUGAGUGAAUGCUUCCUCACAUCACAAGAUAAAAGAUGUUGAGAAUACUGAUGUCCAUGUGGGAUGUGGCUAGACCUGAACCUAAGGUAUUACAUGUAUGUAUGAAUAUUAACUAAAAUAUCUUUUAAAAGAAAUGUUGAAGCAAUUAUUUUGCUAUUAGAAGAAAAUUAAAAUAUUAAAGUGUUGUCUUUUGGGCUAUGAAAA